AUACGUAGGGGGCGAGCGUUGUCCGGAAUGAUUGGGCGUAAAGGGCGCGUAGGCGGCUUUGCAAGUCAGUAGUGGAAGUCCAUUUUUCAAGGAUGGAAGUGCUACAGAAACUGCGGAGCUUGAGUGCAGGAGAGGUUAUCGGAAUUCCCGGUGUAGCGGUGAAAUGCGUAGAGAUCGGGAGGAACACCAGUGGCGAAGGCGGGUGACUGGACUGCAACUGACGCUGAGGCGCGAAAGUGUGGGGAGCAAACAGGAUUAGAUACCCUGGUAGUCCACACUGUAAACGAUGAAUGCUAGGUGUAGGAGGUAUCGACCCCUUCUGUGCCGCAGUAAACACAGUAAGCAUUCCGCCUGGGGAGUACGGUCGCAAGAUUAAAACUCAAAUGAAUUGACGGGG
This 397-nucleotide ribosomal RNA is filed under the name uncultured bacterium. RNAcentral's name for it is "partial 16S ribosomal RNA". It matches the Rfam family "Bacterial small subunit ribosomal RNA", at positions 523 to 918 of the family's 1533-position model. The record is from RNAcentral.